UCCAGACUCCUACGGGAGGCAGCAGUGGGGGAUAUUGCACAAUGGGGGGAACCCUGAUGCAGCGACGCCGCGUGAGUGAAGAAGUAUUUCGGUAUGUAAAGCUCUCUCAGCAGGGAAGAAAAUGACGGUACCUGACCAAGAAGCCCCGGCUAACUACGUGCCAGCAGCCGCGGUAAUACGUAGGGGGCAAGCGUUAUCCGGAUUUACUGGGUGUAAAGGGAGCGUAGACGGCUGAGCAAGUCAGAAGUGAAAGCCCGGGGGGCAACCCCGGGACUGCUUUUGAAACUGCGGAGCUGGAGUGCAGUAGAGGUAAGCGGAAUUCCUGGUGUAGCGGUGAAAUGCGUAGAUAUCAGGAGGAACACCAGUGGCGAAGGCGGCUUACUGGACUGUAACUGACGUUGAGUCUCGAAAGCGUGGGGAGCAAACAGGAUUAGAUACCCGUGUA
Molecule: ribosomal RNA, 445 nt
Filed under: uncultured bacterium
Lineage: Bacteria
Description: bacterial SSU rRNA
Rfam family: Bacterial small subunit ribosomal RNA
Source: RNAcentral